UUUUGGAAGUAAAAAUCGUAACAAGGUUUCCGUAGGUGAACCUUCGGAAGGAUCAUUACCAAACAAAAUAGUUCGGGCUGCGCCUUGCAACAACCGUCAGGCCAGGAGCCCAGCUCCCGGAGGCGCGGCUGCCGGCAUCCUCUGUCUAUGAGUACCGUUUGUUCCCUCGGCGGGCGCAUACCCCGCCGAUGGGCCACCUGAAAACCCUUUUGACUGAAGCACUAUACCUCUGAUCGUGGGCUUGAAUCGUUUACAACUUUCAACAACGGAUCUCUUGGUUCUGGCAUCGAUGAAGAACGCAGCGAAAUGCGAUAAGUAAUGUGAAUUGCAGAAUUCAGUGAAUCAUCGAAUCUUUGAACGCACAUUGCGCCCCUUGGUACUCCAUGGGGCAUGCCUGUUCGAGCGUCAUUUGACACCCUCAAGCACUGCUUGGUGUUGGGCACCUGUCCCGCGGCUCUGCGCGGGACUUGCCCCAAAGUCAUUGGCAGCUGUCCUGUCGGCCUCCAGCGCAGCACUGCGCGCUCGAGGGGCUUGUUUGCAGGCUCAGCGUCCACGAAGGCGUCCUUUUUUCUACAAUCUGACCUCGGAUCAGGUGAGAGCAG
Molecule: ribosomal RNA, 602 nt
Filed under: Falciformispora senegalensis
Lineage: Eukaryota; Fungi; Ascomycota; Dothideomycetes; Pleosporales; Trematosphaeriaceae
Description: partial 18S ribosomal RNA
Rfam family: 5.8S ribosomal RNA (bases 255-408)
Source: RNAcentral